GACGAACGCUGGCGGCGUGCCUAAUACAUGCAAGUAGAACGCUGAAGGAGGAGCUUGCUCUUCUGGAUGAGUUGCGAACGGGUGAGUAACGCGUAGGUAACCUGCCUUGUAGCGGGGGAUAACUAUUGGAAACGAUAGCUAAUACCGCAUAACAGUAGAUGUUGCAUGACAUUUACUUAAAAGGUGCAAUUGCAUCACUACCAGAUGGACCUGCGUUGUAUUAGCUAGUUGGUGGGGUAACGGCGCACCAAGGCGACGAUACAUAGCCGACCUGAGAGGGGGAUCGGCCACACUGGGACUGAGACACGGCCCAGACUCCUACGGGAGGCAGCAGUAGGGAAUCUUCGGCAAUGGACGGAAGUCUGACCGAGCAACGCCGCGUGAGUGAAGAAGGUUUUCGGAUCGUAAAGCUCUGUUGUAAGAGAAGAACGAGUGUGAGAGUGGAAAGUUCACACUGUGACGGUAUCUUACCAGAAAGGGACGGCUAACUACGUG
This 495-nucleotide ribosomal RNA is filed under the name uncultured bacterium. Its description in RNAcentral is "partial 16S ribosomal RNA". It matches the Rfam family "Bacterial small subunit ribosomal RNA", at positions 28 to 507 of the family's 1533-position model. The record is from RNAcentral.